GACGAACGCUGGCGGCGUGCUUAACACAUGCCAGUCGAACGGAAAGGCCCUGCUUUUGUGGGGUGCUCGAGUGGCGAACGGGUGAGUAACACGUGAGUAACCUGCCCUUGACUUUGGGAUAACUUCAGGAAACUGGGGCUAAUACCGGGUAGGAGCUCCUGCUGCAUGGUGGGGGUUGGAAAGUUUCGGCGGUUGGGGAUGGACUCGCGGCUUAUCAGCUUGUUGGUGGGGUAGCGGCUUACCAAGGCUUUGACGGGUAGCCGGCCUGAGAGGGUGACCGGCCACAUUGGGACUGAGAUACGGCCCAGACUCCUACGGGAGGCAGCAGUGGGGAAUAUUGCACAAUGGGCGGAAGCCUGAUGCAGCAACGCCGCGUGCGGGAUGACGGCCUUCGGGUUGUAAACCGCUUUCGCCUGUGACGAAGCGUGAGUGACGGUAAUGGGUAAAGAAGCACCGGCUAACUACGUG
This 468-nucleotide ribosomal RNA is filed under the name uncultured bacterium. RNAcentral's name for it is "partial 16S ribosomal RNA". It matches the Rfam family "Bacterial small subunit ribosomal RNA", at positions 28 to 507 of the family's 1533-position model. The record is from RNAcentral.